RNAcentral lists this ribosomal RNA (253 nucleotides) under uncultured bacterium. RNAcentral's name for it is "partial 16S ribosomal RNA". It matches the Rfam family "Bacterial small subunit ribosomal RNA", at positions 524 to 776 of the family's 1533-position model. The record is from RNAcentral.
AACGUAGGAGACAAACGUUAUCCGGAGUUACUGGGCGUAAAGGGCGUGUAGGUGGUAGAGUAAGUCUGGCGUGAAAUUUUUCGGCUUAACCGGGAAAGGUCGUCGGAUACUGCUUAACUAGAGGACGGUAGAGGCUUGUGGAAUUCCGGGUGUAGUGGUGAAAUGCGUAGAGAUCCGGAGGAACACCAGUGGCGAAGGCGACACGCUGGGCCGUACCUGACACUGAUGCGCGACAGCAUGGGGAGCAAACAGG